This is a long non-coding RNA of Saimiri boliviensis boliviensis (Bolivian squirrel monkey), 556 nucleotides long. RefSeq lists it as uncharacterized. NCBI's taxonomy places the organism in Eukaryota, Metazoa, Chordata, Mammalia, Primates, Cebidae. The record is from RefSeq and is a predicted model, not a curated record.
AGGGACAGAGGAGGGAAGAACCAGAGGAGGGGGUUCGGCCAAGGAAGCAGUGCAAAGCUUAGGAAACCCUGGCUAGUGAGGCAGAAAGGAACAGAAAGUUUGCUUCUCCAGCUGCAGCGCAGUCAAAGGCCAGAGAACCCCCAAACAGUCUCCCAUGAACUUUUUAGAGUCCAUCACGAUGCAUCUGUUUUCCCUCAGCAAUUAAAAGGAGUCUCAAUAAAAUGUGAGGGAGUCAUCGCUCAAAGCCAGAUGAUCCUGAGCGGGUGCGUGCGCCGUUUUCACCAUCCUCUUUAUGCUGAUGGCACCUAGACUCCCUCCCCGCGACCUGAGAGUGGCAGCCACCUGUAACCCUGGAUGGAAGUCACAGUGACGCUGAAUUGAUCCUUCUCCUCUCCAAAUGGAGAUAUGGCAGCUCCUGUCUUAUGUAUCCCGGUUGCCUUCAGGACCCAGAAACCAUUGCUGAAAAGUGGAGGAGGAGGGAAGGUACCCAGAGAAUGGAAGGUAGCUCUGCCCUUCCUCAGGCACACCAUGCUAAUCCUUACACGGCACUAUAAUG